Molecule: transfer RNA, 85 nt
Filed under: Felis catus (domestic cat)
Lineage: Eukaryota; Metazoa; Chordata; Mammalia; Carnivora; Felidae
Also listed under: 3 other names
Rfam family: tRNA
About the family: Transfer RNA (tRNA) molecules are approximately 80 nucleotides in length.
Source: Rfam by way of RNAcentral
GCCUGGGUGGCUCAGUCAGUUGAGCGUCCGACUUCAGCUCGGGUCAUGAUCUCACAGUCUGUGAGUUCGAGCCCCGCGUCGGGCU